Molecule: ribosomal RNA, 550 nt
Filed under: Sordariomycetes sp. UASWS0911
Lineage: Eukaryota; Fungi; Ascomycota; Sordariomycetes
Description: eukaryotic LSU rRNA
Rfam family: 5.8S ribosomal RNA (bases 179-332)
Source: RNAcentral
AUUAUUAGAAGCCGAAAGGCUACUUAAAACCAUCGCGAACUCGUCCAAGUUGCUUCGGCGGCGCGGCCUCCCUCACGGGGGCGCCGCAGCCCCGCCUCUCCGGAGGUGUGGGGCGCCCGCCGGAGGUACGAAACUCUGUAUUAUAGUGGCAUCUCUGAGUAAAAAACAAAUAAGUUAAAACUUUCAACAACGGAUCUCUUGGUUCUGGCAUCGAUGAAGAACGCAGCGAAAUGCGAUAAGUAAUGUGAAUUGCAGAAUUCAGUGAAUCAUCGAAUCUUUGAACGCACAUUGCGCCCGCUAGUACUCUAGCGGGCAUGCCUGUUCGAGCGUCAUUUCAACCCUCAAGCCCUGCUUGGUGUUGGGGCCCUACGGCUGCCGUAGGCCCUGAAAGGAAGUGGCGGGCUCGCUACAACUCCGAGCGUAGUAAUUCAUUAUCUCGCUAGGGACGUUGCGGCGCGCUCCUGCCGUUAAAGACCAUCUUUAACUCAAGGUUGACCUCGGAUCAGGUAGGAAUACCCGCUGAACUUAAGCAUAUCAAUAAGCGGAGGAA